RNAcentral lists this transfer RNA (75 nucleotides) under Agromyces sp. Root81. RNAcentral's name for it is "tRNA-Gln". It matches the Rfam family "tRNA". Rfam says of the family: Transfer RNA (tRNA) molecules are approximately 80 nucleotides in length. Their secondary structure includes four short double-helical elements and three loops (D, anti-codon, and T loops). The record is from RNAcentral. Lineage: Bacteria; Bacillati; Actinomycetota; Actinomycetes; Micrococcales; Microbacteriaceae.
UCCGCCAUAGUGUAACGGCAGCACGGCAGCCUUUGGAGCUGUUCGGUCCAGGUUCGAAUCCUGGUGGCGGAGCCG